CCUACGGGACGCACCAGUGGGGAAUAUUGCACAAUGGGCGCAAGCCUGAUGCAGCCAUGCCGCGUGUAUGAAGAAGGCCUUCGGGUUGUAAAGUACUUUCAGCGGGGAGGAAGGUGUUGAGGUUAAUAACCUCAGCAAUUGACGUUACCCGCAGAAUGAAGCACCGGCUAACUCCGUGCCAGCAACCGCGGUAAUACGGAGGGUGCAAGCGUUAAUCGGAAUUACUGGGCAUAAAGCGCACGCAGGCGGACUGUCAAGUCGGAUGUGAAAUCCCCGGGCUCAACCUGGGAACUGCAUUCGAAACUGGCAGGCUAGAGUCUUGUAGAGGGGGGUAGAAUUCCAGGUGUAGCGGUGAAAUGCGUAGAGAUCUGGAGGAAUACCGGUGGCGAAGGCGGCCCCCUGGACAAAGACUGACGCUCAGGUGCGAAAGCGUGGGGAGCAAACAGGAUUAGAUACCCCGGUAGUC
Molecule: ribosomal RNA, 466 nt
Filed under: uncultured bacterium
Lineage: Bacteria
Description: bacterial SSU rRNA
Rfam family: Bacterial small subunit ribosomal RNA
Source: RNAcentral